Molecule: long non-coding RNA, 240 nt
Organism: Magallana angulata
Lineage: Eukaryota; Metazoa; Mollusca; Bivalvia; Ostreida; Ostreidae
Exons: 2
Source: RefSeq, a predicted model, not a curated record
UAUUUGCGAAGUAAGAUAUUCAUGAUAUUGUUAUUACAGAGUGCUCCUUUGAGAUAGAAGACGAUGAUGGAGCUAAAGUUCUUGCAAGCCCAGUUGCAGCCAAGAAGACUAAAAGCAGCUCAAAUGAGAUAUCUUUGUUGAAGGUUAAAUGGUCUGAAGAUGAGACAGAAGCAAUCAAAUGCUUCCUCCAAGGUACAUCUUUGAUAGAAAAGACAACAAUACUGGUAACCUACCUAGUAA